RNAcentral lists this ribosomal RNA (448 nucleotides) under uncultured bacterium. RNAcentral's name for it is "bacterial SSU rRNA". It matches the Rfam family "Bacterial small subunit ribosomal RNA", at positions 329 to 794 of the family's 1533-position model. The record is from RNAcentral.
GGCCAGACUCCUACGGGAGGCAGCAGUGGGGAAUAUUGCACAAUGGGGGAAACCCUGAUGCAGCGACGCCGCGUGAGCGAUGAAGUAUUUCGGUAUGUAAAGCUCUAUCAGCAGGGAAGAAAAUGACGGUACCUGACUAAGAAGCCCCGGCUAACUACGUGCCAGCAGCCGCGGUAAUACGUAGGGGGCAAGCGUUAUCCGGAUUUACUGGGUGUAAAGGGGGCGCAGACGGCAGCGCAAGCCAGGAGUGAAAGCCCGGGGCCCAACCCCGGGACUGCUCUUGGAACUGCGCGGCUGGAGUGCAGGAGGGGCAGGCGGAAUUCCUGGUGUAGCGGUGAAAUGCGUAGAUAUCAGGAGGAACACCGGUGGCGAAGGCGGCCUGCUGGACUGCAACUGACGUUGAGGCCCGAAAGCGUGGGGAGCAAACAGGAUUAGAUACCCUUGUAGC